UAAAUAUGACCACGAGACCGAUAGCGAACAAGUACCGUGAGGGAAAGUUGAAAAGCACUUUGAAGAGAGAGUUCAAGAGUACGUGAAACCGUUUAGGGGUAAACCUGAGAAACCCGAAAGGUCGAAGGGAGAAAUUCAUUCGCGUUUCGCCGUUGGCGUGAAGCGGUCGCGUGACGAAAAACGUUCGCGCGUUUUUCGCGCCUGCCGUUUUUCGAUCCGACGGCGAACGCGUGCACUUUUCUCCUGGUAGGACGUCGCGAUCCGUUGGGUGUCGGUCUACGGCUCGCGGUGGAGCCCGGAUGUGUUUC
This 308-nucleotide ribosomal RNA is filed under the name Dermatodes sp. CNC COL VG00009653. Its description in RNAcentral is "partial 28S ribosomal RNA". It matches the Rfam family "Eukaryotic large subunit ribosomal RNA", at positions 317 to 514 of the family's 3401-position model. The record is from RNAcentral. Lineage: Eukaryota; Metazoa; Arthropoda; Insecta; Coleoptera; Curculionidae.